This 205-nucleotide ribosomal RNA is filed under the name Enterococcus faecium. RNAcentral describes it as "partial 16S ribosomal RNA". It matches the Rfam family "Bacterial small subunit ribosomal RNA", at positions 1 to 188 of the family's 1533-position model. The record is from RNAcentral. Lineage: Bacteria; Bacillati; Bacillota; Bacilli; Lactobacillales; Enterococcaceae.
UUUUUAUGAGAGUUUGAUCCUGGCUCAGGACGAACGCUGGCGGCGUGCCUAAUACAUGCAAGUCGAACGCUUCUUUUUCCACCGGAGCUUGCUCCACCGGAAAAAGAAGAGUGGCGAACGGGAUGAGUAACACGUGGGUAACCUGCCCAUCAGAAGGGGAUAACACUUGGAAACAGGUGCUAAUACCGUAUAACAAUCGAAACCG